CAUCAGAUGAUGAAUGCAACUGUUCAACUGCUGAGUGGAACAGCUAUGAACUCAAAUGUCAUUCUGAUUGCG
This is a small nucleolar RNA of Talpa occidentalis (Iberian mole), 72 nucleotides long. RefSeq annotates it as small nucleolar RNA SNORD5. The transcript has a single exon. Lineage: Eukaryota; Metazoa; Chordata; Mammalia; Eulipotyphla; Talpidae. The record is from RefSeq and is a predicted model, not a curated record.